RNAcentral lists this ribosomal RNA (2816 nucleotides) under Klebsiella pneumoniae. RNAcentral's name for it is "partial 23S ribosomal RNA". It matches the Rfam family "Bacterial large subunit ribosomal RNA". Lineage: Bacteria; Pseudomonadati; Pseudomonadota; Gammaproteobacteria; Enterobacterales; Enterobacteriaceae. The record is from RNAcentral.
GGUUAAGCGACUAAGCGUACACGGUGGAUGCCCUGGCAGUCAGAGGCGAUGAAGGACGUGCUAAUCUGCGAAAAGCGUCGGUAAGGUGAUAUGAACCGUUAUAACCGGCGAUGUCCGAAUGGGGAAACCCAGUGCAAUUCGUUGCACUAUCGUUAACUGAAUACAUAGGUUAACGAGGCGAACCGGGGGAACUGAAACAUCUAAGUACCCCGAGGAAAAGAAAUCAACCGAGAUUCCCCCAGUAGCGGCGAGCGAACGGGGAGCAGCCCAGAGUCUGAAUCAGCUUGUGUGUUAGUGGAACGGUCUGGAAAGUCCGACGGUACAGGGUGAUAGUCCCGUACACCAAAAUGCACAGGUUGUGAACUCGAAGAGUAGGGCGGGACACGUGGUAUCCUGUCUGAAUAUGGGGGGACCAUCCUCCAAGGCUAAAUACUCCUGACUGACCGAUAGUGAACCAGUACCGUGAGGGAAAGGCGAAAAGAACCCCGGCGAGGGGAGUGAAAAAGAACCUGAAACCGUGUACGUACAAGCAGUGGGAGCACCUUCGGGUGUGACUGCGUACCUUUUGUAUAAUGGGUCAGCGACUUAUAUUCUGUAGCAAGGUUAACCGUAUAGGGGAGCCGCAGGGAAACCGAGUCUUAACUGGGCGUUAAGUUGCAGGGUAUAGACCCGAAACCCGGUGAUCUAGCCAUGGGCAGGUUGAAGGUUGGGUAACACUAACUGGAGGACCGAACCGACUAAUGUUGAAAAAUUAGCGGAUGACUUGUGGCUGGGGGUGAAAGGCCAAUCAAACCGGGAGAUAGCUGGUUCUCCCCGAAAGCUAUUUAGGUAGCGCCUCGUGAAUUCAUCUUCGGGGGUAGAGCACUGUUUCGGCUAGGGGGUCAUCCCGACUUACCAACCCGAUGCAAACUACGAAUACCGAAGAAUGUUAUCACGGGAGACACACGGCGGGUGCUAACGUCCGUCGUGAAGAGGGAAACAACCCAGACCGCCAGCUAAGGUCCCAAAGUCAUGGUUAAGUGGGAAACGAUGUGGGAAGGCACAGACAGCCAGGAUGUUGGCUUAGAAGCAGCCAUCAUUUAAAGAAAGCGUAAUAGCUCACUGGUCGAGUCGGCCUGCGCGGAAGAUGUAACGGGGCUAAACCAUGCACCGAAGCUGCGGCAGCGACACUAUGUGUUGUUGGGUAGGGGAGCGUUCUGUAAGCCUGCGAAGGUGUGCUGUGAGGCAUGCUGGAGGUAUCAGAAGUGCGAAUGCUGACAUAAGUAACGAUAAAGCGGGUGAAAAGCCCGCUCGCCGGAAGACCAAGGGUUCCUGUCCAACGUUAAUCGGGGCAGGGUGAGUCGACCCCUAAGGCGAGGCCGAAAGGCGUAGUCGAUGGGAAACAGGUUAAUAUUCCUGUACUUGGUGUUACUGCGAAGGGGGGACGGAGAAGGCUAUGUUAGCCGGGCGACGGUUGUCCCGGUUUAAGCAUGUAGGCUGGUUGUCCAGGCAAAUCCGGAUAAUCAAGGCUGAGGUGUGAUGACGAGGCACUACGGUGCUGAAGUAACAAAUGCCCUGCUUCCAGGAAAAGCCUCUAAGCAUCAGGUAACAUCAAAUCGUACCCCAAACCGACACAGGUGGUCAGGUAGAGAAUACCAAGGCGCUUGAGAGAACUCGGGUGAAGGAACUAGGCAAAAUGGUGCCGUAACUUCGGGAGAAGGCACGCUGGUGUGUAGGUGAAGCCCCUGCGGGUGGAGCUGAGACCAGUCGAAGAUACCAGCUGGCUGCAACUGUUUAUUAAAAACACAGCACUGUGCAAACACGAAAGUGGACGUAUACGGUGUGACGCCUGCCCGGUGCCGGAAGGUUAAUUGAUGGGGUUAUCCGUAAGGAGAAGCUCUUGAUCGAAGCCCCGGUAAACGGCGGCCGUAACUAUAACGGUCCUAAGGUAGCGAAAUUCCUUGUCGGGUAAGUUCCGACCUGCACGAAUGGCGUAAUGAUGGCCAGGCUGUCUCCACCCGAGACUCAGUGAAAUUGAACUCGCUGUGAAGAUGCAGUGUACCCGCGGCAAGACGGAAAGACCCCGUGAACCUUUACUAUAGCUUGACACUGAACAUUGAGCCUUGAUGUGUAGGAUAGGUGGGAGGCUUUGAAGCGUGGACGCCAGUCUGCGUGGAGCCAACCUUGAAAUACCACCCUUUAAUGUUUGAUGUUCUAACGUUGGCCCCUUACCGGGGUUGCGGACAGUGUCUGGUGGGUAGUUUGACUGGGGCGGUCUCCUCCCAAAGCGUAACGGAGGAGCACGAAGGUUAGCUAAUCCUGGUCGGACAUCAGGAGGUUAGUGCAAUGGCAUAAGCUAGCUUGACUGCGAGCGUGACGGCGCGAGCAGGUGCGAAAGCAGGUCAUAGUGAUCCGGUGGUUCUGAAUGGAAGGGCCAUCGCUCAACGGAUAAAAGGUACUCCGGGGAUAACAGGCUGAUACCGCCCAAGAGUUCAUAUCGACGGCGGUGUUUGGCACCUCGAUGUCGGCUCAUCACAUCCUGGGGCUGAAGUAGGUCCCAAGGGUAUGGCUGUUCGCCAUUUAAAGUGGUACGCGAGCUGGGUUUAGAACGUCGUGAGACAGUUCGGUCCCUAUCUGCCGUGGGCGCUGGAGAAUUGAGGGGGGCUGCUCCUAGUACGAGAGGACCGGAGUGGACGCAUCACUGGUGUUCGGGUUGUCAUGCCAAUGGCACUGCCCGGUAGCUAAAUGCGGAAGAGAUAAGUGCUGAAAGCAUCUAAGCACGAAACUUGCCCCGAGAUGAGUUCUCCCUGAGACUUUAAGUCUCCUGAAGGAACGUU